RNAcentral lists this microRNA precursor (76 nucleotides) under Myotis lucifugus (little brown bat). RNAcentral describes it as "mir-9193 microRNA precursor family". It matches the Rfam family "mir-9193 microRNA precursor family". Lineage: Eukaryota; Metazoa; Chordata; Mammalia; Chiroptera; Vespertilionidae. The record is from Rfam by way of RNAcentral.
ACUGGGGUAGUGGGGGAUCUCUCAGCCUGGAUUGCCAGAGGGUGCAGGCCAGGCCAAGGGACCCCACCAGUGCAUG